This 8495-nucleotide long non-coding RNA is filed under the name Cinara cedri. Lineage: Eukaryota; Metazoa; Arthropoda; Insecta; Hemiptera; Aphididae. The record is from RNAcentral.
UGGUGCCUACAGCUUACAACACAAAGGGACCCUUUUACGAUCAAUACCUAUUUUAUUUGGUUACAUCACUCAUACGGUCUCACACACUCACACCACUCAUACCAUUGUUCGCUUUCCCAGUUCAUGUCAUUUAGAAUACGAAACGGUGAUGGUAAGACGUAGAUAUAGUCUCUCUGAGAGACUAUAUAAAUACUCUACUCUCUAGUGCUUUAAUACUAGAUUACAACUUAUCUACCCGCUACUACAAAUAUCUGUGCUACUUAGUAAGUAUGAGUGAGCUAUUAUUUAAUUUAAUUUAAUUAACUAUAGUAAUUAAUAUAUUACCAUGUUUUAUAAUAUCUAUUAUUACCAUGAUUUUAGGUAAAACACGCGAUUGAAAUUCAAACAGUAAAUAUUCAUCACAGACCAUAGUAUAAUCUUAUGACUCAUGGGAAAUUCAUGGAUUUCAGAUUUGUGGUUAACGUGCAUGAUUCUGCUCUGAUAUGCGGUCUUCAUAUAGGUAUAUAAAAUAUAUAAUAAUAAUAUAAUAUUAAAAAACCAACCUGGCAGUGUUAUAUUAUAUAAUAGAGCAUCGUGUAUAGGCACACUAAUGAAUAAUAAUUUACAAAAAUUAAAAUUUCAAACAAAACAAUUAAAUAGUAAAAUAAACAAAUAUAAAUUGGUUGCUAUUGUGUUUAGGACAAUUUACCAUAAUAUUAUUAUAUUGGAGUGCACUUGAAAGUAAAUAAUAUAUUCAAUUAGUUAAACUCAUAAAACAUUCCAUCCUUCUCUUACAUGUUAGUGAAAUAUAUUUAAACAACAGAAAUGUUAAUAAAAUUUAAUAUUUUGGUAUAUGUAUUUUAUUAUUAAUUAUACGGGAGUACAGAACGACAGAAAAAAAUAAGGUGAUAAAAUAUUUUAGUAUUAAUUUUUAUUAGAUAGAGUGAUUUUAGGUUGGAGAGAGUAUUUGUUAGACGCAUUAAACAGUCAAGAGGUUAAUUGCUGCAGUAAUUUGUAGUACGUUUGGGUACUACAUAAGGGGUGAGGGAGUGAGUGGAGUGCUGAAGAACUCGGAAAUUAAUACAAGAGAGGAAGGAAGGUACAUCAAACGAGUAGUCGUGAAUGGGGUGGGGAAUAUUCAAAGUAAACCAGCGAAGGACAGAUUUUAUUAUUUUAAAAUUGGUUAUACUCAAUAUGCAAUAGAGCAUUAUCAUGAAUCAUGAUCAAAUUUGACCCUAAUUACUUUCUUAAAUGAGAGAAGAAGGUGACAGUCAUAGUUUAUAAUUAACUUGUACAUCUAGAAUUGAUAUGGUCAAAACGAUUAGCACUGCAUCACUGUAGUACCAGUGUACCAGUACUACCUUGAACAACACAUGUGUGAUCGAGAGAACUAAUAGUAUCAAUUUUCUAUUAGACAUUAGGUAUUGCAUAGAGUAUUUAAAUCAUAUGAUAUUGGUACAAAUUUCCAAUUGUAUACACGUAACUAUAAAUCUAUAAUACAGUUGUAAUCAAGUUGUUAGUUCUCAUUAUAGAAGGCAAAUUAGAAAGGGUUUCCAAAAUUCACUUAAACGAUAGUGGAAGGCUUCAUUAUCUCUUCUGAUGGUUUGAUUAAGCCUCAUUUUUUAAAUUUAUAUAUAUAUAUAUAGUUAUGGCUGGGGUGACGAAGUGAAUUAGGAUUAAUUGAUAAAUAUUAAUAAAAUAUUAUUUGCAUGAGUUUGUUUGUAUGCAAUAUCAGGAUCAUAAAUUACAUACAAAUUGUGGGGGGGGGGGGGGCUAUAAAAUAGCUAAACUGUUCAAAAUAUUAAACCGGCUGUAUUUUUGCUUAAAUACCUAGUUAUUAACUAGUAAGUUUCUUAAUAUUGUUUUGUAAGAUUACUGUUGUAUUUUAAUUUUAUAAAAUUAAAACUUCUAGUAUGGAAUAUACUCUAUCAACUUCCAAUUCCACCUGUUGCAUCAAAUACAUUUCUAGUUGUACUGUAAUUUCCUAUUUCAGUCUUUGAUAUACAACAUGACGAAACUAAGCAAUAUUGCGAGGUAUAGAUAAAAUUUAUCAUCAUAAAUGAUUUUUUUUUUUAUAUAGAAUUACAAACAUUAACAAAAAAAACUACAAUAAUAUUGUUAUUGGCUGAUAUUGAAAAAUAAAAGUAUAGAAAUUAGAAUAUUAAACUGACAGCCAUCUAGACAUUAUCACACAUUAUUUGUUUAGGUUUUUUAAUGUCAGCUGUAAUAUUUUUUGUUUUAAUGAUUGGUAACAAUAUUUUUUAGCUAAUUUAUUUUUAUUAUUUAAUGUAAACCCCACACAAAUGAGUAACUGAAGAAAGAUGAAAAGCAGACCAAACUUAUCAACUAACUUGUAAAUCUAUGGAAUAAACUUUUUUGCAUAUUGUUUACUCCAUCAUGAGGAGUGGCUCAUGGUUAGGUCUCUUUACUUUAUGUUGAUAUUAGAUUUUUCACUACUCAAUGUCUUUCUCUUUAUAUGUAGAAUGUAUAUGGAUACAAAAUAUUAAAUAUUUAUGUAGGUUCUAGUUAUUUUAUAACUACUGAUGAUAACAAGUAAAUUUGUCAGUAUCCACCCAGUGAACAUUUCUUUUCAGAAAAAGUCCUAUAAAUGAUAAUCUGAGUAAACUUUCUGGUAGAAAAAGAGUUUAAAUAAAAAAAAAUUAAUGUAAAACCAAUAUAUAUCUAGAAAAUAGACUAAUAUCUAAUUUAAUAAUACUAAUGUCUCAAAACUUAAAAAUAAUUAAUUAAUAACAUUUAAUCUGGUUAUAGAUGUGAUGGAAAUUAAAACUGCAACUUCUAUGUAUACCUACAAUUAUGUGUCUUUCAACAGUGAAUAAGCACUGUAGCAAGUUGGGUUUGUUGUUCUUCUGUCAACCACCAAUCUAGAAUGUGAUCUCAAAUUAUAUUGAAAAAUAUUGGUUCAUUAUGGUAAAUAUGGUCUAAGAAAAGUUAAAUGUAUUGUGCUAAAAGCGCUAAGAACUUCUAAUAAUUAUGGUGGAAAUUUAUUACAAGUUUAUACAUAUAAUUAUCAAUUCUUCUAUAUAUAUUGUAGUGUAAAUGAACCAGAAAUACUUUACACUUGUGUUUUAUCAACUGUUUAUAAUAUUGCUACUUAAAAACUACCAAACAAACUGCACAAGAUGGAUCUGUUCACUCACAAAAAGCAAUACUUUUUCAAAUAUAUAUGAACAUAUUAUUAAAAGUUCAUGAAAGUGGUUGUGCAUGGGGUGUAAAGGGACUUUAUAUCCCAUGGACAACCACUUAUAUAUCUUUCAAUGAAAAUGAUCCAGAAAUAUUUAAAACUUGUGUUUUAUCAAUUGUUUAUAGUAUUUCGACUUGUAAACUAUUAAACAAACUGGACAAGGUGAAUCUGUUCACAACCUGAAAUACUUACACAAAUAUAAGUGAACAUAUUAUUGAGAGUUCAUGAAAGUGGGUGUGCAUGGGAUGAAAAGGGACUUCUCAUCCCAUGGACAUCCACUUAUAUAUCUCUCAGUGAAAAUGAUCCAGAAAUACUUAAAACUACCAAACAAACUGAAAAAGAUGGAUCUGUUCACACCCUGAAAUACUUACUCAAAUAUAAGUGAACAUAUUAUUAAAAGUUCAUGAAAGUGGUUGUGCAUGGGGUGAAAAGGGACUUCUCAUCCCAUGGACAACCACUUAUAUAUCUUUCAAUGAAAAUGAUCCAGAAAUAUUUAAAACUUGUGUUUUAUCAAUUGUUUAUAGUAUUUCGACUUGUAAACUAUUAAACAAACUGGACAAGGUGAAUCUGUUCACAACCUGAAAUACUUACACAAAUAUAAGUGAACAUAUUAUUGAGAGUUCAUGAAAGUGGGUGUGCAUGGGAUGAAAAGGGACUUCUCAUCCCAUGGACAUCCACUUAUAUAUCUCUCAGUGAAAAUGAUCCAGAAAUACUGAAAACUACCAAACACACUGGACGAGAUGGAUCUGUUCACAACCUGAAAUACUUACUCAAAUAUAAGUGAACAUAUUAUUGAAAGUUCAUGAAAGUGGGUGUGCAUGGGAUGAAAAGGGACUUCUCGUUCCAUGGACAUCCACUUAUAUAUCUUUCAAUGAAAAUGAUCCAGAAAUAUUUAAAACUUGUGUUUUAUCAAUUGUUUAUAGUAUUUCUACUUGUAAACUAUUAAACAAACUGCACAAGAUGGAUCCGUUCACCCACAACAUAAAACACUUACUCAAAUAUAGGUGAACAUAUUAUUGAAAGUUCAUGAAAGUGGGUGUGCAUGGGAUGAAAAGGGACUUCUCGUCCCAUGGACAUCCACUUAUAUAUCUUUCAGUGAAAAUGAACCAGAAAUACUUGACACUUGUGUUUUAUCAAUUAUAAUAUUUCUACUUGAAAAAGGCCAAACAAACUGCACAAGAUGGAUCUGUUCACUCACAACAUGAAACACUCAAAUAUAUAUGAACAUAUUAUUAAAAGUUCAUGAAAGUGGUUGUGCAUGGGGUGUAAAGGGACUUUAUAUUCCAUGGACAACCACUUAUAUAUCUUUCAAUGAAAAUGAUCCAGAAAUAUUUAAAACUUGUGUUUUAUCAAUUGUUUAAAGUAUUUCUACUUGUAAACUAUUAAACAAACUGCACAAGAUGGAUCUAUUCACUCACAACAUGAAAUACUUACUCAAAUAUAUGUGAACUUAUUAUUGAAAAUUCAUGAAAGUGGGUGUGCAUGGGAUGAAAAGGGACUUCUCGUCCCAUGGACAUCCACUUAUAUAUCUUUCAAUGAAAAUGAUCCAGAAAUAUUUAAAACUUGUGUUUUAUCAAUUGUUUAAAGUAUUUCUACUUGUAAACUAUUAAACAAACUGCACAAGAUGGAUCUAUUCACUCACAACAUGAAAUACUUACUCAAAUAUAUGUGAGCUUAUUAUUGAAAAUUCAUGAAAGUGGGUGUGCAUGGGAUGAAAAGGGACUUCUCAUCCCAUGGACAUCCACUUAUAUAUCGCUCAGUGAAAAUGAUCCAGAAAUACAGAAAACUACCAAACACACUGGACGAGAUGGAUCUGUUCACAACCUGAAAUACUUACUCAAAUAUAAGUGAACAUAUUAUUAAAAGUUCAUGAAAGUGGUUGUGCAUGGGGUGUAAAGGGACUUUAUAUCCCAUGGACAACCACUUAUAUAUCUUUCAAUGAAAAUGAUCCAGAAAUAUUUAAAACUUGUGUUUUAUCAAUUGUUUAUAGUAUUUCGACUUGUAAACUAUUAAACAAACUGGACAAGGUGAAUCUGUUCACAACCUGAAAUACUUACUCAAAUAUAAGUGAACAUAUUAUUGAGAGUUCAUGAAAGUGGGUGUGCAUGGGAUGAAAAGGGACUUCUCGUUCCAUGGACAUCCACUUAUAUAUCUUUCAGUGAAAAUGAACUAGAAAUUCUGGGAACUUGUGUUUUAUCAAUUAUAAUAUUUCUACUUGAAAAAGGCCAAACAAACUGCACAAGAUGGAUCAGUUCACUCACAACAUGAAAUACUUACUCAAAUAUAUGUGAACUUAUUAUUAAAAGUUCAUGAAAGUGGUUGUGCAUGGGGUGAAAAGGGACUUCUCAUCCCAUGGACAACCACUUAUAUAUCUUUCAAUGAAAAUGAUCCAGAAAUAUUUAAAACUUGUGUUUUAUCAAUUGUUUAUAGUAUUUCGACUUGUAAACUAUUAAACAAACUGGAAAAGAUGGAUCUAUUCACUCACAACAUGAAAUACUUACUCAAAUAUAUGUGAACUUAUUAUUGAAAAUUCAUGAAAGUGGGUGUGCAUGGGGUGAAAAGGGACUUUUCAUCCCAUGGACACCCACUUAUAUAUCUUUCAGUGAAAAUGAUCCAAAAAUACUAAUAACUUGUGUUUUAUUAAUUGUUUAUAAAUUUCUACAUGAAAAAAGCCAAACAAACUGCACAAGAUGGAUCUGUUNNNNNNNNNNNNNNNNNNNNNNNNNNNNNNNNNNNNNNNNNNNNNNNNNNNNNNNNNNNNNNNNNNNNNNNNNNNNNNNNNNNNNNNNNNNNNNNNNNNNNNNNNNNNNNNNNNNNNNNNNNNNNNNNNNNNNNNNNNNNNNNNNNNNNNNNNNNNNNNNNNNNNNNNNNNNNNNNNNNNNNNNNNNNNNNNNNNNNNNNNNNNNNNNNNNNNNNNNNNNNNNNNNNNNNNNNNNNNNNNNNNNUUCAAUGAAAAUGAUCCAGAAAUAUUUAAACUUGUGUUUUAUCAAUUAUAAUAUUUCUACUUGAAAAAGGCCAAACAAACUGCACAAGAUGGAUCUGUUCACUCACAACAUGAAAUACUUUCUCAAAUAUAGGUGAACAUAUUAUUGAAAGUUCAUGAAAGUGGGUGUGCAUGGGAUGAAAAGGGACUUCUCGUCCCAUGGACAUCCACUUAUAUAUCUCUCAGUGAAAAUGAUCCAGAAAUACUUAAAACUACCAAACAAACUGAAAAAGAUGGAUCUGUUCACACCCUGAAAUACUUACUCAAAUAUAAGUGAACAUAUUAUUAAAAGUUCAUGAAAGUGGUUGUGCAUGGGGUGUAAAGGGACUUUAUACCCCAUGGACAACCACUUAUAUAUCUUUCAAUGAAAAUGAUCCAGAAAUAUUUAAACUUGUGUUUUAUCAAUUAUAAUAUUUCUACUUGAAAAAGGCCAAACAAACUGCACAAGAUGGAUCUGUUCACUCACAAUAUGAAAUACUUACUCAAAUUUAUGCGAACAUAUUAUUGAAAAUUCAUGAAAGUGGGUGUGCAUGGGGUGAAAAGGGACUUUUCAUCCCAUGGACACCCACUUAUAUAUCUUUCAGUGAAAAUGAUCCAAAAAUACUAAUAACUUGUGUUUUAUUAAUUGUUUAUAAAUUUCUACAUGAAAAAAGCCAAACAAACUGCACAAGAUGGAUCUGUUCACUCACAACAUGAAAUACUUUCUCAAAUAUAGGUGAACAUAUUAUUGAAAGUUCAUGAAAGUGGGUGUGCAUGGGAUGAAAAGGGACUUCUCGUUCCAUGGACAUCCACUUAUAUAUCUUUCAAUGAAAAUGAUCCAGAAAUAUUUAAAACUUGUGUUUUAUCAAUUGUUUAUAGUAUUUCGACUUGUAAACUAUUAAACAAACUGGAAAAGAUGGAUCUAUUCACUCACAACAUGAAAUACUUACUCAAAUAUAUGUGAACUUAUUAUUGAAAAUUCAUGAAAGUGGGUGUGCAUCGGUUGAAAAGAGUCUUUUCGUCCCAUGGACAACCACUUAUAUAUCUUCCAAUGAAAAUGAUCCAGAAAUACUUUAAACUUGUGUUUUAUCAAUUGUUUAUAAUAUUUCCACAUGAUAAAGGUCAAACAAACUGCACAAGAUGGAUCAGUUCAUCCACAACAUAAAACACUUACUCAAAUAUAGGUGAGCAUAUUAUUGAGAGUUCAUGAAAGUGGGUGUGCAUGGGAUGAAAAGGGACUUCUCAUCCCAUGCUCAUCCACUUAUAUAUCUCUCAGUGAAAAUGAUCCAGAAAUACUGAAAACUACCAAACAAACUGGAAAAGAUGGAUCUGUUCACAACCUGAAGUACUUACUCAAAUAUAAGUGAACAUAUUAUUGAAAGUUCAUGAAAGUGGGUGUGCAUGGGAUGAAAAGGGACUUCUUGUCCCAUGGACAUCCACUUAUAUAUCUUUCAGUGAAAAUGAUCCAAAAAUUCUGAAAACCUGUGUUUUAUCAAUUGUGUAUAAUAUUUCUACAUAAAAAAUACCAAACUAACUGCACAAUAUGGAUUUGCAUAUGGAACUUGUUUAAACAACCGUGAAAAUAUUUAUUAUUAAUUCAUAAUGCAGAUUUUCAGUUAUGAAAAAAACGGAUUGGUAUCUUUUGAAAUGAGCUUAUGUAAGUUUUUGUCUUAGAAAGAUAAUGGCAUCGGAAUUUUUUUUUUUCAUGGACACCCACUUAAAUAAUCUUUAUAUUGUCUUAUUUCUGUACUGCUAAAUAAUUGGUUUGUUUUACCUAUACUUUUGGAUAGAAUAGAUUUGUAUAGAACCUUUAGAAUAGAGGAGAGUAAGUCAUUAUUAGAUUGAUCAGUAUUAUGUCUCGAGAAAUUAUAUUCCUUAAUUUAUAUUAUAUUUUAUAACGAAAUGAAAAAUGUUGUUUUUAAACUUUCGAAACUUAAAAACAAAUUCAUUACAUUUGUCUGGUUGUUCUUGUAAUAUGCAUUCUAUCCUAUUAUUUGUAGCAAAAAUGUAUUUAUAAAAAAUUAUGUUAGUAUUUGAAAUGUAUUAGUUCUAAAUUUAAAUUGAUUUAUUCAAAUCUAUAAUAAUUAUAUUAUAUUGUAACGAAAUUUAAAAUUUUUAUUUUUAGUUUAAUUUAAUCUUAAAAAACUAAAACUAAAACAAUUGUAUUAAAUUUGUUCGUCAGUACUUAUCAUUGUGUCUUGUUAUUUGUAAUAUAAAUUUUAUAAUUCUUAUAUUCCUUUUUUGUAUGGAAAUUUUCUAGCACCUUUAUUUUGAAAAAGUGUUUUUAGAAUCAAUCAAUGACAGAUUUUCUAAUUCGUCUAAUUUUAUUUGACACUUGAAACUAGUCAAAAG